GGCAUGAGUGAUAGGCCCAAAGAGUGUGACUAUACCAUAUGAACUCAUGAGACAGAAAGAUUGUUUGCGUUAAACUUGUACUGAUCUUUGAAAUACCAGCAUUAUCUUAUUUAAGGUUUGGGAUGAGGUAAUAGAAACAAAGAAAAACAUGGUUAAUUGGACACCAAGUGCCCAGUAGUUAGGGAGACUUAUGGCAAAAUGAGAUAAGAAGAAAACUUUGAAGAAAGAUGCCCCGUCAUUAAUCUUGUCUUGACAGGAGCAGAGGACAGUGUCCAGCCCUAAACUGCUAAGGUCUGAUAACUACCAAUGACAUCACUUUUUUAGGAUAGUGUAUAAGAAACAAGGUUCUUCAGGAUUUUCUUUGUCAGAGCUUUUCAUAUGGAAUCACACCAUGAUUGGAAGGUAUCUCCUGGGCCUGAUCCUGUUGAUAAGUAUUUGGACAAUGCAUGUAACUGUAUUGUUGCUAAGGCUAUGCAACCUAGAGUUGGUCUGUUCAGCAAAGAGCCCCUGACUGUCAAACGGAAGGUCUUGGAUAGUUUGCUGAACUUCCGGCGGGUCACCCGAGGACUGAAGCCAGGCAUUACACUGCAUGGCAAUACCAGCUGCCAGUGUACAAGCUGCCGCGUCCGCGGCAUCCAGGGAGCCUUGAAGAGCAGUUCGGGACACUAGUCUGCCCUCCUCAGCAAUGGCCCCCAGCUCCUGCCGAGAAUCAGAUGGGAGCAGCUCCUUGAACUUUUGAAUAGCAGAACAGAAUUAUAGCUGUAUCCGCUAAGGAUCACGAGCUGAUUAGCCAUCCGUAGGGAGAGGCCACCGGUAGAAUAAACCUCUCUCCCAAAGAGGUCCAGACGUUUUGCGUUCCUUGAUUUAGGGGCAGGCCCCUACUGACCCUGUUUUUCUUUUUCAUUUACUGCAUUCAUCACCAGGGAGCAUGGGGGGGGGAUGGGUAAAAAGGUAUUCAUACCCCUUAGUGGGGACAAAGUACUUUCUUUUGGCCCUUUUGGCCGUGGGGGGAAUGGAGGCCAGAGUUUGCCAGAUUGUUUUGGCAUUCGACUGAAUGGACUUUAUAAUGGGCAGUGCCACCCUAGAGGACCCUUCUGGUGUCAGAAUGUCCACCAUGGGGUCCUCUUCUUCUAUGACCUCCUCCACCUGGAGAUUCAUGUUUAAGGCCACUCGCCAUAGAAGUUCCUGUAGGGCCUGGUAGUCCAUGGAUGUACCCGCCACCGCCUCAUCAGGAGACGAGGAGGAGGAGGCAACCGGCAGAAUUGGGUCCGAGACAGCCCCUUGGUCCACUGGUUCUGGUUCCUCCUGGGCACUGGCUGGAUCCAGGGUUUGUGCAGAGUCCGGAGGAGGACGACUGAUGGUUGCCUUGGGAAUACAGGAUCCAGAACAAGAUGGCGGCGGGAAACCUGGAGGGCUGCCCUGGGCUUGGUGGUACGCUCAGGGAGUCUAGAACUGCCACUGGCAUUGCCAGUGGGGCGCUGAAGCGUCCCGUCUAAUAUUGCCUGGACCUGAUUGGGGUGCCUCCGAUGCUCCCGAUGCCCUACCCUACCUGUGGGAGAGUGACUGGAAGUGGGAUGGCUAAGGAGAGGUGGUACGCUGUACUAGGGGAGGUGCUGCAUCCCCUGAUGGGCAGAAUGGGUACCGUGUGGAGUGGCGAGAUCCAAACAGUGAUCAGCGGUGCUGUUGUGGAGAGCAGUACCGGGAGAUUGACCAGCGCCGAGAUGUUGGACUUUGCCUCGGUGGAGAGCGGCCACGGGAAUGCGACCACGACUGAUGCCAUGCUGGGGAACGGUUCCGUGGUGGAGAGCAGUGCCACGAUGGAGAGUGGUUUCACGAACUGUGUUGCGGAGAGGUGUGGGGCCGCGACAGGGAGCAGUGCCUCAGCACGGACCAGUAUUGGUUUGAGCAGUGCCGUGGGCUCUCAGACUUUGACCUAGACCUCAAGUGGGACCAUGACGUGUCACCCAAUGAUCACCUUGAGCGGGAGCAGCUCCGAGGAUCGGGGCUGUGAGACCAGUGCCGUGAAUCAGAGCGGCGCAGAGCACGGGUGCAGUGCAGGGACUCAGAGCAGUGCCAGGACUCAGAGUGGCGUGGUGAUGCUGGUCUGGGGGCAGAAGGCCCAAAGAUUGCUGGUUUGCCUCUUGACUGUGCUGGGGCUCGAGAUGGUGUAGGCCUCGAGACCGGAGACUUGGAUGCCUUCAUCUCAAUGAACCCUCUGGCAGCCUCAAAGGCCUCCAAUUUUCUCAAAGACAAACAUUCCCAAACAGACCAUCUGUUGUCGAAGAGAGCACUUUGAGGAGGAGCAGAUUCUUUCCAUCUCGCUUAUUUCUUGGUACCCAUUCCAUUUUCUGAGUAGGCCUCUUCUACACAAGGGGUUAUGAAUGUCUAUCACCUGCAACUUCGGCAUCAUCUGCUGGUUACCACCAAAAGUGAUCCAACAAGGUGUACAUCAGACAAUAAAAUACCAGUAUCAAAAAAAGACUUCAUCCAGGAAAACCAUGGAUGAGUUCGUAAUCAUGAUCAACAAAUUCCAGCAAGACUCCUCUGUAGUUGACAAGAUUCGAAACCGUGCAGGGAGACCUCAAUGGAUUUCUAGUCCUUCACCUUAACCACUUGGCCAUAACUACUUGAGGGGAGGGAUAACUCAGUGGUUUGAGCAUUGGCCUGCUAAACCCAUGGUUGUGAGUUCAAUCCUUGAGGGGGCCAUUUAGGGAUCUCGGGCAAAAAUUGGGGAUUGGUCCUGCUUUGAGCAGAGGCUUGGACUAGAUGACCUCCUGAGGUCCCUUCCAACCCUGAUAUUCUACGACUCAGAUGAAGAGACUGCUCCGUUCAUUUGUGUAACAAAUUCUCCCUUUCAUUUUCUUCAGAACAAACAUUUCAAUAACAUAGCUUCAUCAUAAGGAUUGAACCAUGCUCCAUCUGGCUGAGCAGACAUUGCAGGAAGGUUGCUGGACAGUAUAUGAGAAGGAAAUCAAACAGCAUGCAAAAAACAUUGACAGUAAAUUCAUUACUCUCUUGCUAGGUGGAGCCAAUGAUCCACUAGUAUGUGCUUGUGUGACAACAGAAGAUGGGGCUGUCUUAUAGAAACAAUUGAUACAUCAGGAAAUGCCCAUACAGCCGAAUACUUAAACAUAGCAGUAAAGCUAUAAUUGAACAAAAUUCUAAUGUUUUUGAAAACUUCUGCAGGCUGACCUAAAAUCAUCAUUCACUGACUACAGUUAGUCCUACUGUUCCUUUAAUAAAUCAUUUAGUUGUAAAUGGGAAA
This is a long non-coding RNA of Dermochelys coriacea (leatherback sea turtle), 3265 nucleotides long. RefSeq lists it as uncharacterized. The transcript is spliced from 4 exons. Lineage: Eukaryota; Metazoa; Chordata; Testudines; Dermochelyidae. The record is from RefSeq and is a predicted model, not a curated record.